CAGAGUGCCCCUCCGGCCUCGCCAUGAGGCUCUUCCUGUCGCUCCCGGUCCUGGUGGUGGUUCUGUCGAUCGUCUUGGAAGGCCCAGCCCCAGCCCAGGGGACCCCAGACGUCUCCAGUGCCUUGGAUAAGCUGAAGGAGUUUGGAAACACACUGGAGGACAAGGCUCGGGAACUCAUCAGCCGCAUCAAACAGAGUGAACUUUCUGCCAAGAUGCGGGAGUGGUUUUCAGAGACAUUUCAGAAAGUGAAGGAGAAACUCAAGAUUGACUCAUGAGGACCUGAAGGGUGACAUCCCAGGAGGGGCCUCUGAAAUUUCCCACACCCCAGCGCCUGUGCUGAGGACUCCCUCCAUGUGGCCCCAGGUGCCACCAAUAAAAAUCCUACAG
RNAcentral lists this long non-coding RNA (387 nucleotides) under Homo sapiens (human). RNAcentral describes it as "long non-coding RNA NONHSAT179797.1". The record is from RNAcentral. Lineage: Eukaryota; Metazoa; Chordata; Mammalia; Primates; Hominidae.